UCGAUAGGACAGAUGAAGGUGUCCACAAAGU
RNAcentral lists this non-coding RNA (31 nucleotides) under Mus musculus (house mouse). The record is from RNAcentral. Lineage: Eukaryota; Metazoa; Chordata; Mammalia; Rodentia; Muridae.